UACGCACAUCGCCAUGUUAGUAUAGGCGGCUUCUAAGCGUUGGCGCGCAUUCUGCAUAACUUAUGGGUUUCGCGGCGAGAUGGACGUAGAUGUCUUCCGGCUAUGGCCGUUGUUUGAGGCAUGGAAAAGAAAUUCUGCCGUUUUUGUAAAUCUCUUGCUAACCUCGCUGAGCACGCGUUCCUCCACGCAGUAGUUUCUGAAAUAUCUCCUAAUUAAAGAUUGGUGGUACUUUAUCUAAAAUAUCUGCAGUUCUGUAUGAGGUGUGACAUGAUAACUAUUCAUGACAUGUUGGUAAUUGUUGAUCUUCGUCGUCACUGUUCAAUCAGUUAUUUUUAUUUUAUAUCAAAUUGGAAUUAUUUUCGCAGUAUUAAAUUUUAAAUUCAGUUGUCUCAUGGUCAGCAACUAUUUAAACGUAAGAAAGUCUGCAUGCUCAUCUUGAAUUAACUACAAUUACAGCUUACAAUCUCACUGCAUUUGUGUUAACUUAAAUAUUAAAUUUUAAAGUACUACAUGUAUUAUAUGUCUAUGUUUUGAUUUACGUGAAAAAAGUCUCAUAAACGGCAAAUAAUCAUAAAUUAAAAUUAAUGAUAUCAAUGUUAAAUUUACAAGACCUUAGCAAAAAGCUGAUCUUACACUAUAAGACUAAACAUUAAUUGAUAAAUUGAUUAAAAAUUGUUUAAAGAGAUUACAUCAAUUUUGAAUCUACGAGACCUCUCUGUAGUAAAACUAGUCUUACGCUGUAAAACUAAACAUAAAUUUUUGUUUAAAUAAAAUUAAAUCAAUUUCGAAUCUACGAGACCUCUCUGUAGCAAAAAACUAGUAUAAGACUAUAGGACUAAACAUAAAUUUUCGUUUAAACGAGAUUAAAUCAAUUUCGAAUCUACGAGACCUCUCUGUAGCCAAAAACUAGUUUUAACCUGCUAGGAUAAAUUUAAACUACUUCUAUUUCACAUAAAUCAGUUUUGAAUCUACGAGACCUCUCUGUAGCAAUAAUAAUUCUAUAUGACUAUUAUUUGCACAUUGAUUUUAUUGUUAAAUUUUAAAGUAUAGCUCACAGAAAAUUUCAAAUGAAUCAUUACAUUAAUUUUGUAUUGAAACAUAAACUUUAGCUCACAAGCAGAUUCCAAAAGAGUCAUUACAUAUAAAAUGCAAUUAAAAUUAUAAACUUAAAAAUUAGCUCACAUUAGAUUCCAUUGAAUCCUUAAACUAACAUGUCCUAGCUUCAUCUAUGGAGCUAACUCUUUGAUAAGUGCAUCAUCAGCCAUAUUAACUUGUCCAUCUUAACUUCUUAUUUUUACCUUCUUUUUUACCUUCUACUGUCUUUAAAUCUUUUUUAACUUUUUUAAAUUAUUUAAAAAAUGUUCUUAUUAACUAAUAAAAUGUUGUGAAUCUCAGGUUAUGCCCAACAUUAAAAACAGUUUAAAACUGAAUAUCUAGCUACAUUCUUAAAAUGCUGUAAAUCUCAGGUUAUGCCUAAAUUUAAAAAAAGUUUAAAAAUAAAAUGGCGAGUAUCUCAGGUUAUGCCCUACAUAAAAAAAGUUAAAAAUUUAAUUUCCAGGUAUAUUCUUAAUGUUAUUAAUCUCAGGUGAUAUCCAACAUAAAAAACAUUUCAAAAUUGAAUUUCCAGCUGCAUUUUUAAAAUGCUGUGAAUCUCAGGUUAUGCCCAAAAUAAAAAAGAACAGUUCAAACAUAAAAUGAUAAGCAUCUCAGGUUAGCCCAAUUAAUAAAAAUCUUUAAUAAACUAAUAAAAUGUUGUGAAUCUCAGGUUAUGCCCAACAUAAAAAACAGUUCAAACAUAAAAUGAUGACCAUCUCAGGUUAGCCCAAUUAAUAAAAAUCUUUAAUAAACUAAUAAAAUGUUGUGAAUCUCAGGUUAUGCCCAACAUAAAAAACAGUUUGAAAUUGAAUUUGCAGCUACAUUCUUAAAAUGCUGCUAAUCUCAGGUUAUGCCCAAAUUUAAAAAAGUUUAAAAAUAAAAUGGCGAGCAUCUCAGUUUAGCCCAAUUAAAAAAAAUUUUCUUAUAAACAGAUAAAUGCUAUGAAUCUCAGGUUUAUGCCUAAAAAUGAAAAACAGUUUUAAAUUAAAUUUCCACCUACACUCUUAUGGCCGUACGUCUUUGAUUGUCCAAACAUUUUAAAAAAUUUCCAAAAUAAAAUGAGAAGCAUCUCAGUUUAGCCUAAUUAAAAAAAAUUAUUUAAUAAACUAAUAAAAUGCUAUGAGUCUCAGGUUAUGCCCAAUAGUAAAAAACAGUUUUAAAUUAAAUUUCCACCUACACUCUUAUGGCCGUACGUCUUUGAUUGUCCUAAAAUUUAAAAAAAUUUCCAAUAUAAAAUGAGAAGCAUCUCAGUUUAGCCUAAUUAAAACAAAUUAUUCAAUAAACUAAUAAAAUGCUAUGAGUCUCAGGUUAUGCCCAAUAGUAAAAAAUAGUGUGGAGGUAUUAUGAGUAGUGUUGAUUGAAAUUUAAAUAAUUUACUAACGAAAAAAAUUGUCUUUUAAAAUUUCAAUAAAUACUCUCUAAGACUAAUCUAUUAAAUAAUAUCGUUAGUUUAAAUGUAAAAUUUAGCUCACAAGUAGAUUCCAAAAGAGUCAUUGCUUAAACAAAUAAAUAAUGAUAAAAUAUUAUUCUACUUUCUUUUCUUCGUUAUUGUAUUUUUAUAUGAGUACACCACGUUUUACUGUUGUUAGAUAAUAUACAUACAUAUAUGCUGUAAAUUUUGAACAAGAAAACUACUAAUUUAAGUUAGCCUUUCUCGUGUUUACUUGUUCAAAAUAUGGUAGCCAUUGUAUAAUUUAAUAAAAUUGAUUAUUUUAAAUAAUAGUGUGUCAUUAAAAAAAUAAAAAUUCUAUUUGUUUCUCCGAGUACGUAAACCUAUAUGUAUUUCUUUCAUUGCAUAUAUAUACAUUCGCACACCAACCCUCUAGUUGAAAGAUACUUUUAAAUUAUACUCCAAUUGUAUUCAAAUAUUACAUUAAAAGUAUAUAUAAAUGAUAUUUCUUCCAAACUACCAUGGAGGUUAAUGUCAUUGGAACUAUUUUGAAUGUAGAAAUUUUCAAGAUUUCGACUUUUACU
RNA transcript from Phymastichus coffea, 3069 nucleotides. RefSeq lists it as uncharacterized. The record is from RefSeq and is a predicted model, not a curated record. Lineage: Eukaryota; Metazoa; Arthropoda; Insecta; Hymenoptera; Eulophidae. The transcript is spliced from 4 exons.